This 98-nucleotide signal recognition particle RNA is filed under the name Rhodocyclaceae bacterium. RNAcentral's name for it is "signal recognition particle sRNA small type". It matches the Rfam family "Bacterial small signal recognition particle RNA". From Rfam's summary of the family: The signal recognition particle (SRP) is a universally conserved ribonucleoprotein involved in the co-translational targeting of proteins to membranes. Archaeal SRP consists of a 7S RNA and homologues of the eukaryotic SRP19 and SRP54 proteins. Lineage: Bacteria; Pseudomonadati; Pseudomonadota; Betaproteobacteria; Rhodocyclales; Rhodocyclaceae. The record is from RNAcentral.
GGCGGGUCUCCUCGCAUUGUUAGGUCGUGAAUCGGGUCAGGUCCGGAAGGAAGCAGCCACAGCGACUGAGGCAAGUGCCGGGGGUCGGGCUCGCCACC